AUGGCUCCUUUGAUCAUCAACAAUGAUGUGGUCCAGGGUGAGACUUUCCUCCCUGGACAGAUCUUCGUCUUCGGCGGCUUCGCUCUGCGGGCCAAUUCGCUCGGCCACCUUGAGCAGACCGAAAGCUACGCCCCUAGCCAUCAGGUCAGGUUUGGAAGCCUAAACUACACGGCCAACAUCCGCGGGGACUUGAUCUUCGACGGAUUCGAGCCACAGCCAAGCGUGCCGCACUGUCUCGACGGGCAUGAUGUAGCUCUGCUGCCGAACAGUGCUUUGGAGGCCGCACGCGCAUCGGUUCCGACCAUUGAUUCGGAGCCUACUGUGCCAAUCGAGGAUCAGCGGUUGGACGCUGCCUCAGGGGCUGCAAUCUCAGAGGCGAUUGAGCCGAACUCCAGCCCCGCACUCUGCACGACCCGUGACUCCGAGGAUCCAGACUCCUCCCCGGACUCCGAACCCCCCGCGCCCCUGCCAAUCGAAUCCGAUUGGGCGCGGAUAAUGGAGUUCACCGCUGCAGACAUCUUUCAACAUUCGCCUUUUGGCGACAUCCUGAAUUCUCUUAAGUCUCUCUCUUUAUCAGGAGAGCCCUGGCCGGACUGCGGUCAGCGAGGGUGGGAUGUGGACGAUAAGGAAAUUCAAAACCCACCCACCACCCACUUGGUAGCCACUGUCGACAAUUUAAACGACGUGCUCAACUUUGACUCCGGAGACAUCGACAUCAUGGAUGACGAUGCAGGAGAUACCGACAAACCAACGCUCAUAGGGCAUUGGACAGCCACCUCAUCUCACGAUGUGUACAUGGUGGAUACCCCUAAAGGAGGUGACAAUGAGGAAAAAGGGAAUGGGACGGGAGUUCGACCCCCCGAAAAGCAAUCAAAGCGUCAGCGUAAACACCGACCCAAGCCCCGCCUCGACAUAAACCCAACCAUAAAGCAAGACGAGCCGGGAGACGACAAGCAGGCCUUAGAGCAACCGUCCGAACAGGGCAACACGGAUAGAGAAACCGAACAUCCCUCCCCCGGCGAAAACGGAAUUCUGGACGACCUCACGCUGGAUGAACCCAUGGAGCAGAAGAAUCUCCACGAGAGGCUCGUUGCAACUGCACGCAGCCUAAAAAAGCAGAAGCGCAAGCUAAAAACAGCGGAAGAUGCACUCCGAAUUAGAUGGAGCAAAGUAAUCAAUACCGCAGAUAAAUACGGCGACAGUCGCGGCACUAAAAGCUAUCCGAAAAGAAAGCUACUGCCCGAAUUCGACAAAGAGGCCCUAAAGCCCUCGCAUUCAAAAAAUGAGAAAGCAACAUGGUCGGAUAAACGAACCCAUAAAGCGGCAAGCGGUGCCGCACCUAAAGCGGCAUGCGACCCACUUAAUGAUUCACAUCAUGGCCCAAUCAGGUCCGUUUAUGGGCCAAGAAAGCAAGCUCGUGUAAACAACACUAUGAAGCCAUCAUCAGAAUCCGGCACACCCAAAUACAAGGGCGCCACACACCCCCUAUGUUUCACCGAUGAGGUUCUGGACUAUGAAUUCCCAGAGGGAUUCAAACCCGUAAACAUAGAGGCAUAUGAUGAAACAACAGACCCUGGAGUUUGGAUCGAGGAUUAUAUCCUCCACAUACAUAUGGCUAGAGGAGAUGAUCUCCACGCCAUAAAAUAUUUACCCCUUAAGCUUAAAGGGCCAGCCCAGCAUUGGCUUAAAAGCCUUCCCGAAAACACAAUUGGAAGCUGGGAAGAGCUCGAGGAUGCUUUCCGAGCAAACUUUCAAGGGACCUAUGUCCGCCCUCCGGAUGCAGACGAUCUUAGUCACAUAACUCAACAACCCGGAGAAUCAGCCCGACAGUUCUGGAAUAGAUUCCUCACUAAAAAGAAUCAAAUAGUCGACUGUCCGGACACUGAAGCCUUAGCAGCUUUCAGGCACAACGUCUGA
This 1917-nucleotide ribosomal RNA is filed under the name Triticum aestivum (bread wheat). RNAcentral's name for it is "partial small subunit ribosomal RNA". The record is from RNAcentral. Lineage: Eukaryota; Viridiplantae; Streptophyta; Magnoliopsida; Poales; Poaceae.